UGCGAGAAUGACAAUUCGAGCAGGUGCGAAAGCAGGUCAUAGUGAUCCGGUGGUUCUGUAUGGAAGGGCCAUCGCUCAACGGAUAAAAGGUACUCCGGGGAUAACAGGCUGAUACCGCCCAAGAGUUCAUAUCGACGGCGGUGUUUGGCACCUCGAUGUCGGCUCAUCACAUCCUGGGGCUGAAGUCGGUCCCAAGGGUAUGGCUGUUCGCCAUUUAAAGUGGUACGCGAGCUGGGUUUAGAACGUCGUGAGACAGUUCGGUCCCUAUCUGCCGUGGGCGUUGGAAGAUUGAAGGGGGCUGCUCCUAGUACGAGAGGACCGGAGUGGACGAACCUCUGGUGUUCGGGUUGUGUCGCCAGACGCAUUGCCCGGUAGCUAAGUUCGGAAUCGAUAACCGCUGAAAGCAUCUAAGCGGGAAGCGAGCCCUGAGAUGAGUCUUCCCUGAUACUUUAAGUAUCCUAAAGGGUUGUUCG
This 473-nucleotide ribosomal RNA is filed under the name Vibrio jasicida. RNAcentral's name for it is "bacterial LSU rRNA". It matches the Rfam family "Bacterial large subunit ribosomal RNA", at positions 2374 to 2841 of the family's 2925-position model. Lineage: Bacteria; Pseudomonadati; Pseudomonadota; Gammaproteobacteria; Vibrionales; Vibrionaceae. The record is from RNAcentral.